Molecule: long non-coding RNA, 352 nt
Organism: Rhineura floridana
Lineage: Eukaryota; Metazoa; Chordata; Lepidosauria; Squamata; Rhineuridae
Exons: 3
Source: RefSeq, a predicted model, not a curated record
CACUCACACCACAUGACAGAGGCUUAAUUGGGAUCCUAGAAAUGGAGCAGAAGUGCACUGAAAGCAGAGCAGCAAAUAAGAGGUGGAGGAGCUACAGACUGGCCUAUUUGGUGCAUCCAUAGGCCCCAUCCUUGACUCUUCCUGCUCCAUCCUCCUUGAAUGCUUUUGACUGACUGGAAAUGUCCGUGAACUAUGAUAUUGCCUCUUGCUUGCCUGGAAGGAGGGGAAUGUGCAUAAGAAUCUCUGACUUUUGCAUGACUGGAAUGUGGCCCACUGUACAACGGUAACAACUGCAUCUUUCGCUCCAUCCGCUUUUGCCACUGGUCCCGCUCACCAAUGGCCUGUGGUCCCC